CAAGAAACGAGGCUACGUGCCCCGCUCUUUUACCUUGCCUACUGCACUAUCUGUUGCUUCCCUGGCGGCGGUUUGCCUGCCGCCAGGGACAUUGUAAAGCCCUGUAUAGGCAUUAAAAAACUGAAAACAAACCGAAUCGUA
RNAcentral lists this unclassified non-coding RNA (141 nucleotides) under soil metagenome. RNAcentral's name for it is "partial internal transcribed spacer 1". The record is from RNAcentral.